This 380-nucleotide ribosomal RNA is filed under the name uncultured eukaryote. RNAcentral's name for it is "partial 18S ribosomal RNA". It matches the Rfam family "Eukaryotic small subunit ribosomal RNA", at positions 592 to 976 of the family's 1831-position model. The record is from RNAcentral.
CAAUAGCGUAUAUUAAAGUUGUUGCAGUUAAAAAGCUCGUAGUUGGAUUUGUGGCUGUCACGGGCGGCCUAUCACUUAGUGUUAGUGCUUGCCUGUGUCGCCAUCCUUGGGUGGAGCCCGUGUGGCAUUAGGUUGUCGUGCGGGGGAUGCCCAUCGUUUACUGUGAGAAAAUUAGAGUGUUCAAAGCAGGCUUAUGCCGUUGAAUAUGUUAGCAUGGAGUAAUAAGAUAGGACCUCGGUACUAUUUUGUUGGUUUGCGCACCGAGGUAAUGAUUAAUAGGGACAGUUGGGGGUAUUCGUAUUUCAUUGUCAGAGGUGAAAUUCUUGGAUUUCUGAAAGACGAACUACUGCGAAAGCAUUUACCAAGGAUGUUUUCAUUAA